RNAcentral lists this ribosomal RNA (466 nucleotides) under uncultured bacterium. RNAcentral describes it as "bacterial SSU rRNA". It matches the Rfam family "Bacterial small subunit ribosomal RNA", at positions 28 to 494 of the family's 1533-position model. The record is from RNAcentral.
GACGAACGCUGGCGGCGUGCCUAACACAUGCAAGUCAACUUGACUGAAGGAGCAAUCUGACAGUAGAGUGGCGCAAGGGUGCGUAACGCGUAAGUAACUUGCCCCAAGGUAAGGAAUAACGUCGAGAAAUCGGCGCUAAUACCUCAUAAUGCAGCGGAUCCGCAUGGAUAUGUUGUUAAAGGUUUACCGCCUUGGGAUAGGCUUGCGUCUGAUUAGCUAGUUGGUGUGGUAACGGCACACCAAGGCUACGAUCAGUAACUGGUCUGAGAGGAUGAUCAGUCACACUGGAACUGAGACACGGUCCAGACUCCUACGGGAGGCAGCAGUGAGGAAUAUUGGGCAAUGCUCGAAAGAGUGACCCAGCAACGCCGCGUGGAGGAUGAAGGUAUUCUAUAUCGUAAACUCCUGUGAGAGCAGACGAAAGACAGAUUAUAAUCUGGAUGACUGUAUGCUCAGAGGAAGCCCC